This 200-nucleotide ribosomal RNA is filed under the name uncultured bacterium. RNAcentral's name for it is "partial 16S ribosomal RNA". It matches the Rfam family "Bacterial small subunit ribosomal RNA", at positions 8 to 224 of the family's 1533-position model. The record is from RNAcentral.
AGAGUUUGAUCCUGGCUCAGGAUAAACGCUGGCGGCGUGCCUAACACAUGCAAGUCGAACGCUCUGCGCAAGCAGGGAGUGGCGGACGGGUGAGGAACACGUGGGUAUCUACCCAAAGGUGAGGAAUACCGGCGAGAAAUCGCCGACAAGACCGCAUAGGCUUCUCUUGGGGGAAGCAAAGCUCGUAAGAGCGCCAUUGG